CACAUGACUCUCGACAAUGGAUAUCUCGGCUCUUGCAUCGAUGAAGAACGUAGCGAAAUGCGAUACCUGGUGUGAAUUGCAGAAUCCCGUGAACCAUCGAGUCUUUGAACGCAAGUUGUGCCUGAGGUCACUCGGCCGAGGGCAUGCCUGCCUGGGCGUCAUGC
Molecule: ribosomal RNA, 164 nt
Filed under: Anthosachne scabra
Lineage: Eukaryota; Viridiplantae; Streptophyta; Magnoliopsida; Poales; Poaceae
Description: 5.8S ribosomal RNA
Rfam family: 5.8S ribosomal RNA
About the family: 5.8S ribosomal RNA (5.8S rRNA) is a component of the large subunit of the eukaryotic ribosome.
Source: RNAcentral